RNAcentral lists this ribosomal RNA (776 nucleotides) under uncultured Neocallimastigales. RNAcentral describes it as "partial large subunit ribosomal RNA". It matches the Rfam family "Eukaryotic large subunit ribosomal RNA", at positions 24 to 614 of the family's 3401-position model. The record is from RNAcentral. Lineage: Eukaryota; Fungi; Neocallimastigomycota; Neocallimastigomycetes; Neocallimastigales.
UAUCUCUGUAGAGUCUGCAUAUCAAUAAGCGGAGGAAAAGAAACUAACUAGGAUUCCCUCAGUAACGGCGAGUGAAGCGGGAAGAGCUCAAAUUUGAAAUCUUCAAGGUUUUACCUUGACGAAUUGUAGUUUAAAGAAGUGUUUUCUGUUGGAGUUUUGGUAAAAGUUCUUUGGAAUAGGACAUCAUAGAGGGUGAGAAUCCCGUAUUUGACCAUUACUUUCCAGCUUUGUGAUACACUUUCAAAGAGUCGGAUUGUUUGGGAAUGCAGUCCAAAAUGGGUGGUAAAUUUCAUCUAAAGCUAAAUAUUGGCGAGAGACCGAUAGCGAACAAGUACCGUGAGGGAAAGAUGAAAAGAACUUUGGAAAGAGAGUUAAACAGUACGUGAAAUUGUCAAAAGUGAAGCGUUUGACACCAGUGUUGUUUUCUCGAAAAUCAAUUUAAUGGGUUCUUGUUUUUAAGUUAUUGUGACUUUAUCAGCGCAUUUCUUAUUUUACUUGGCUCAUUGAAUGCACUUUUCGUUUAACAAGUCAACAUCAAUUUCUUUGGUGGUAAAAAGUUUAAAGGAAGGUGGCUUGGACUUCGGUUCAAGUGUUUAUAGCCUUUUUUCUAUGCCAUCGGAGAGAUUGAGGUCUGCAGCGUAGAUCCUUCGGGGUUAGAUACUUUAGUGCUAAGUUAUAGUUUUUUAUAGACAACUUGUUGACUAUAAUUAACCCUGUAAUUUACUCGCUAGAGCUAUUUUACCUACGCUUAGGAUGUUGAGUCAUCACACAUCUCU